This 607-nucleotide long non-coding RNA is filed under the name Mytilus galloprovincialis (Mediterranean mussel). The record is from RNAcentral. Lineage: Eukaryota; Metazoa; Mollusca; Bivalvia; Mytilida; Mytilidae.
AUAGAUAGAUAGAUAUUUUUAUUUUAAAGUACAACUUGGUACAUAUACAUGAAAUACAAUAUAUUGCAGUUUUAAACAUAAGCAUUCAAUUAACAUGUAUAAUUAUUAUACCAACCAGCCUUUGGAGGCUUAUAGGCCUAAUUCUUGUUAGAUACAAUGUAGUUUCAAUAUAUCAGUUGUGUUUAAUAAUUAAAUGAGAAAAUAAGGAUGAAAGUAGCUUAACUGAAAAUUUGGAGGAUAAGAGUUGUCUCUCUUUGUACUAUACCAUUUACAUUAAGGAAAAAAAUAGAAAUUGAAAUCAAAGAUAAAAGAGAAUUUAUCGCCUAGAAUUGACUAAAUUCUGACAGUUGAUCUAUAUAAAAGUAAUUUAUCCCAUUUGCUGUGAAAGCAAAAUAGUAUGUAAACACUUUGGCUAAUAUUUGAAAAUGUAAACAGGUAAAUGUAAAUGCAUACAAGUAAACAAAAAUAUGACACUAUUUAUCACAAUAAGUACAUAGCAAGCAUGUGUAACAAUGAACUAAACAGACCCCUACUUAGUACAAUUCAGAUAUCAUAAAAAUAUAUAUUUAAUGACUAGAGUUAUAUAUUGAUAUAUUGAUCGAUUAAA